ACAAUGGAUUUUUUUAAAUCUAUAUGAUAGAUUCUAUAAAGGAUAG
Non-coding RNA from Musa acuminata subsp. malaccensis (wild Malaysian banana), 46 nucleotides. The record is from Rfam. NCBI's taxonomy places the organism in Eukaryota, Viridiplantae, Streptophyta, Magnoliopsida, Zingiberales, Musaceae.